CAGAGUACCGGUGCCCUCUGGGCGCCUACUCCAACCCUUUGUAUUCCCAAAAAACCGUUGCUUUGGCGGGCCGAUGCACCCGCGUCGCCGGCACAUGCUGGAGGGCGCCCGCCAGAGGCCAACUAAACGAUGCUCAACAUUGACGUCUGAGUGAAAACAAAUGAAUCA
Molecule: unclassified non-coding RNA, 168 nt
Filed under: uncultured Capnodiales
Lineage: Eukaryota; Fungi; Ascomycota; Dothideomycetes; Capnodiales
Description: sequence contains ITS1
Source: RNAcentral